UACAGAGGGUGCAAACGUUGUUCGGAAUACUGGGCGUAAAGCGUGUGUAGGCGGCCUCGUAGGUCGGAUGUGAAAGCUCUCGGCUCAGCCGGGAAAGUGCAUUCGAAAACCACAAGGCUUGAGUGUCGGAGAGGAAGGCGGAAUUGUCGGUGUAGAGGUGAAAUUCGUAGAUAUCGACAGGAACACCUGCGGCGAAAGCGGCCUUCUGGACGAACACUGACGCUGAGACACGAAAGCGUGGGGAGCAAACAGG
RNAcentral lists this ribosomal RNA (253 nucleotides) under uncultured bacterium. RNAcentral's name for it is "partial 16S ribosomal RNA". It matches the Rfam family "Bacterial small subunit ribosomal RNA", at positions 524 to 776 of the family's 1533-position model. The record is from RNAcentral.